This 87-nucleotide ribosomal RNA is filed under the name Nanosynbacter sp. Lineage: Bacteria; Bacillati; Minisyncoccota; Nanosynbacteria; Nanosynbacterales; Nanosynbacteraceae. The record is from RNAcentral.
UCAGGUGGUUAUUGCGGCGGGGUCCCACCUCUUCCCAUUCCGAACAGAGAAGUUAAGCCCGUUUGCGCCGAUGGUACUGCAAUGCAA